This 466-nucleotide ribosomal RNA is filed under the name uncultured bacterium. RNAcentral describes it as "partial 16S ribosomal RNA". It matches the Rfam family "Bacterial small subunit ribosomal RNA", at positions 28 to 507 of the family's 1533-position model. The record is from RNAcentral.
GAUGAACGCUGGCGGCGUGCUUAACACAUGCAAGUCGAACGAUGAAGCCCAGCUUGCUGGGUGGAUUAGUGGCGAACGGGUGAGUAACACGUGAGUAACCUGCCCUUAACUCUGGGAUAAGCCUGGGAAACUGGGUCUAAUACCGGAUAGGAGCGUCCACCGCAUGGUGGGUGUUGGAAAGAUUUAUCGGUUUUGGAUGGACUCGCGGCCUAUCAGCUUGUUGGUGAGGUAAUGGCUCACCAAGGCGACGACGGGUAGCCGGCCUGGGAGGGUGACCGGCCACGCUGGGACUGAGAUACGGCCCAGACUCCUACGGGAGGCAGCGGUGGGGAAGAUUGCACAAUGGGCGCGAGGCUGAUGCAGCGACGCAGCGUGAGGGAUGACGGCCUUCGGGUUGUAAACCUCUUUCAGUAGGGAAGAAGCGAAAGUGAGGGUACCUGCAGAAGAAGCACGGGCUAACUACGUG